AUUGAACGCUGGCGGCAGGCCUAACACAUGCACGUCGAGCGGAUGACGGGAGCUUGCUCCUUGAUUCAGCGGCGGACGGGUGAGUAAUGCCUAGGAAUCUGCCUGGUAGUGGGGGACAACGUUUCGAAAGGAACGCUAAUACCGCAUACGUCCUACGGGAGAAAGCAGGGGACCUUCGGGCCUUGCGCUAUCAGAUGAGCCUAGGUCGGAUUAGCUAGUUGGUGAGGUAAUGGCUCACCAAGGCGACGAUCCGUAACUGGUCUGAGAGGAUGAUCAGUCACACUGGAACUGAGACACGGUCCAGACUCCUACGGGAGGCAGCAGUGGGGAAUAUUGGACAAUGGGCGAAAGCCUGAUCCAGCCAUGCCGCGUGUGUGAAGAAGGUCUUCGGAUUGUAAAGCACUUUAAGUUGGGAGGAAGGGCAGUAAGCUAAUACCUUGUUGUUUUGACGUUACCGACAGAAUAAGCACCGGCUAACUCUGUGCCAGCAGCCGCCGUAA
Molecule: ribosomal RNA, 500 nt
Filed under: uncultured bacterium
Lineage: Bacteria
Description: partial 16S ribosomal RNA
Rfam family: Bacterial small subunit ribosomal RNA
Source: RNAcentral